GCCGGGCGUGGUGGCGGGCGCCUGUAGUCCCAGCUACUCGGAGGCUGAGGCAGGAGAAUGGCGUGAACCUGGGAGGCGGAGGUUGCAGUGAGCCAAGAUUGUGCCACUGCAACCUCUGCCUCCUGGGUUCAAGUGAUUCUCCUGCCUCAG
Molecule: small RNA, 150 nt
Filed under: Papio anubis (olive baboon)
Lineage: Eukaryota; Metazoa; Chordata; Mammalia; Primates; Cercopithecidae
Description: Metazoan signal recognition particle RNA (ENSPANG00000038494.1)
Source: Rfam by way of RNAcentral